GGUGAGAGGAGGGGCUCUUUAUAGUCGUCAUCAUGACCAACUGGACGCCCUGCAGCAAGCCCCGCCCCCUUCCCAUCAUCCUCUCCCCCCGGAUCACCAUGGAGAUGGACCCAACAUUCCAGAACCCUAUCAGCUGGUUUCUGCAGCGAGGGAGGAGUAUCUGAAAAGGAGACAAGAAGCCAACCACUACAAACUCAGAGCAGAGAAACAACUGGUACACACACACACACACACACACACACAGACAGAGGAAGCCAACCAUUACAAACUCAGAGCAGAGAAACAACUGGGGCUGCGUCCCAGCACUGCUGAUGCUGAUUGGUCCAGACCAGCACCCCCACCUCAGCACCCCCCACCACACAGGAAACAGCACCUGCAGCAGAAGGACUAUCUUAUGCAGCUACAGAUGAUCAGACAGCAGUAUCAGGAUGAGAUCCGAGAGUUCAGGAGGAGAGAAGCAGCACCGCAAAAUGUGGAAGAAGCUUUAAGAGAAAUACAACAGCAGCACAGACCGAAGAGGAGUCACACAAAAAGGAAAGGAAUCAAGUUUGAGAUCUUCCUGACUGAUGAGAAGACCCAAGAAUGCGGAGCGAGAAAAAAGAAGACGAGGAGGAGCCGAAGGAGGAAGAGAGAGAGACAGAUGAGAAGAGGGACGGAGAGAGAGAGAUGAACGAGAUCAGAGAUGGAGAGAGAGAGAUGAACGAGAGCAGAGAUGGAGAGAGAGAAAGGGUGGAUCCUUUGAAUCAGACUCAGAUGUUGCAUGCAGGAGAGAACCUGACACCGAAGUUAGGGAGUCUGGAAGUAGAGAGAGAGAAGGAUAGAGGGAGAGAGAGAGAGGAUAGAGGGACAGAGAGAGAGAAGGAUAGAGGGGACAGAGAGAGAGGAUAGAGGGAUAGAGAGAGAGAAGAAUAGAGGGACAGAAAGAGAAAGGGAUAGAGGGAUAGAGAGAGAAGAGGAUAGAGGGAGAGAGAGAGUUCUGGGGAGUGAAGGAGAAAGAGAGAAGGAGCGAGAGACAGAGAAGGAAGGUGUGUGUAGAGAGAGGAGUGUGUGUGUGUGUGUGAGUGGUGUGUGUGUGUGUAGAGAGAGGAGUGUGUGGCCCAGAGGAACUCCACACACACUGAUGGACGCUCUCGCUCUCAAAGACCUGACUGUCUGCUCCAGCAGCACUACAGGUGAGU
This is a long non-coding RNA of Clupea harengus (Atlantic herring), 1178 nucleotides long. NCBI's taxonomy places the organism in Eukaryota, Metazoa, Chordata, Actinopteri, Clupeiformes, Clupeidae. The record is from Ensembl.